AGAAUCUUUCGCAAUGGGCGCAAGCCUGACGAAGCGACGCCGUGUGAGCGAAGAAGGCCUUCGGGUUGUAAAGCUCUUUCGCCAGGGAACAAGGGAACCGGUAUAACACGUCGGUAACUUGAUGGUACUUGGUAAAGAAGCACCGGCUAACUCCGUGCCAGCAGCUGCGGUAAUACGGAGGGUGCAAGCAUUGAUCGGAAUUACUGGGCGUAAAGGGCGCGUAGGCGGCUAGAAAAGUCGGAUGUGAAAUUCCAGGGCUCAACCCUGGAGCUGCAUUUGAAACUCUCUGGCUAGAGUAUAGUUAGGGUAAACGGAAUUCCACGUGUAGCGGUGAAACGCGUAGAUAUGUGGAAGAACACCGGUGGUGAAGACGGUUUACUGGGCUAUAACUGACGCUGAGGCGCGAAAGCAUGGGGAGCAAA
This 422-nucleotide ribosomal RNA is filed under the name uncultured bacterium. RNAcentral describes it as "bacterial SSU rRNA". It matches the Rfam family "Bacterial small subunit ribosomal RNA", at positions 358 to 772 of the family's 1533-position model. The record is from RNAcentral.